Molecule: transfer RNA, 55 nt
Filed under: Capra hircus (goat)
Lineage: Eukaryota; Metazoa; Chordata; Mammalia; Artiodactyla; Bovidae
Rfam family: tRNA
About the family: Transfer RNA (tRNA) molecules are approximately 80 nucleotides in length.
Source: Rfam by way of RNAcentral
GCUUAGAUGGUAAAGAAUCUGCCUGCAAUGCAGGAGACCCAGGUUUGAUCCCUGG